This 429-nucleotide ribosomal RNA is filed under the name uncultured bacterium. RNAcentral's name for it is "bacterial SSU rRNA". It matches the Rfam family "Bacterial small subunit ribosomal RNA", at positions 355 to 776 of the family's 1533-position model. The record is from RNAcentral.
UGGGGAAUAUUGGACAAUGGGGGAAACCCUGAUCCAGCGACGCCGCGUGUGUGAAGAAGGCCUGCGGGUUGUAAAGCACUUUUAGUGGGGACGAAAAGUUCAUGGUUAAUAACUGUGGAUCUUGACUUAACCCAAAGAAAAAGCACCGGCUAACUCUGUGCCAGCAGCCGCGGUAAUACAGAGGGUGCGAGCGUUAAUCGGAAUUACUGGGCGUAAAGCGCGCGUAGGUGGUUUUGUAAGUCAGAUGUGAAAGCCCCGGGCUCAACCUGGGAACUGCAUUUGAGACUGCAUGACUAGAGUAUGGGAGAGGGCAGUGGAAUUUCAGGUGUAGCGGUGAAAUGCGUAGAUAUCUGAAGGAACAUCAGUGGCGAAAGCGACUGCCUGGCCCAAUACUGACGCUCAUGUGCGAAAGCGUGGGGAGCAAACAGG